CCGUCCUCAUCGAAACCCUCACCGCCCUCGGCGCCGAGGUCCGCUGGUGCUCCUGCAACAUUUUCUCCACCCAGGACCACGCAGCCGCCGCCAUCGCCCGUGACAGCGCCGCCGUCUUUGCCUGGAAGGGCGAGACCCUCCAGGAGUACUGGUGGUGCACCGAGCGCGCCCUCGACUGGGGCCCCGGUGGUGGACCCGAUCUGAUCGUCGACGACGGCGGUGACGCCACCCUCUUGAUCCACGAGGGAGUCAAGGCCGAGGAGGAGUUCGCGAAGUCCGGGACUCUCCCCGACCCGUCUUCCACCGAUAACCAGGAGUUCCAGCUCGUUCUGACCAUCAUCAGAGAUGGCUUGAAGACCGACCCCAAGAGGUACCACAAGAUGAAGGACAGGUUGGUCGGAGUCUCGGAGGAGACCACCACCGGCGUCAAGAGAUUGUAUCAGAUGCAGGCCAGCGGCGCUCUCUUGUUCCCCGCCAUCAAUGUCAACGACUCUGUUACCAAGAGCAAGGUAUGUCUCUCGGGUCUCCUUUUUGCUAUCAAUUCUGCUAUAUUAUUUAGAUC
Molecule: long non-coding RNA, 562 nt
Filed under: Malus domestica (apple)
Lineage: Eukaryota; Viridiplantae; Streptophyta; Magnoliopsida; Rosales; Rosaceae
Description: long non-coding RNA (MDOM_LNC003512)
Source: RNAcentral